Molecule: non-coding RNA, 116 nt
Filed under: Durinskia baltica
Lineage: Eukaryota; Dinophyceae; Peridiniales; Kryptoperidiniaceae
Source: RNAcentral
CAACGCUAUGAGUGCUGCGGAGAUGACUGAUAAGCUUGGUCUGCACGGCCUCCGCCACAGACAGUGGUAUAUCCAGGCUUGUUGCGCCACCACCGGCGACGGCCUGUAUGAGGGUU